GUGGGUCUCCGUUUGGUCAUCCACUCCAACAAGGAUUUGCAACUGGUCUGUUAUUGCAGCUUAAUGGCCAUGAUCACGGGACAGAAGCUAAUGCAGACCUAAUGCUUGGUGCAUCAAGGGAUCACAUCCUGGUUGGAAUGGCUGCAAACUUGCGAGAUUUUGUACUAACCAAUUCUGACGGAAAAGAGGUAAAAGGUUCAGAAGUUCUACUACAUGAUGGGAUACCUGUUGCAUAUGCUUCAUCCCCCACAGAAACUGCUAACUAUGUUUCUGCUCAUGACAACGAAACCUUGUUUGACAUU
Molecule: long non-coding RNA, 302 nt
Organism: Neltuma alba
Lineage: Eukaryota; Viridiplantae; Streptophyta; Magnoliopsida; Fabales; Fabaceae
Exons: 5
Source: RefSeq, a predicted model, not a curated record